AAAUAAUAUAAUUUAAUUUAUUUAGUAUUAAUUAAUUAGUAAUAAAUAAUUUUAAAUUAAAAUUUAUUAGGUGAAAUUUUUAAAUUUUAAAUAAAAUUUGUUAUUUUUAAUGAAGUUAAAAAAUUUAGGUUUAAACUAGGAUUAGAUACCCUAUUAUUAUAAAUGUAUUUAUAUUACUAAAUUAGUAUUAGUUAUGUUCUUGAAAAUUAAAAAAUUUGGCGGUAUUUUAGUCUAUUCAGAGGAACCUGUCCUUUAAUUGAUAAUCCACGAUUUAAUUUACUUUUUUUAUUAGUUUGUAUAUCGUCGUAAUUUGAAUAUUUUAUAAGAAUUUUAAUAUUCAAAAUUUUUUAUAAGAAAAAAAAUCAGAUCAAGGUGCAGUUUAUAAAAAAGUAGUGAUGGGUUACAAUAAAUUUAUUUAAGGAUUAUUAUUUUUAAUAUAAUAUGAAUUUGGAUUUGAGGGUAAAUUUAAUUAAUUAAUUAAAUUGAUUAAGCUCUAAAAU
RNAcentral lists this ribosomal RNA (500 nucleotides) under Chrysolina americana. RNAcentral describes it as "partial 12S small subunit ribosomal RNA". Lineage: Eukaryota; Metazoa; Arthropoda; Insecta; Coleoptera; Chrysomelidae. The record is from RNAcentral.